AAGCCUGGGGGGCCGCAUAAGCCCAAAAUCCAACUUGCAAUCAGAUAUAAACCCAUGGC
Molecule: transfer RNA, 59 nt
Filed under: Ctenophorus reticulatus
Lineage: Eukaryota; Metazoa; Chordata; Lepidosauria; Squamata; Agamidae
Description: tRNA-Cys
Source: RNAcentral